UACGUAGGGGGCGAGCGUUGUCCGGAUUUAUUGGGCGUAAAGAGCGUGUAGGCGGUUCGGUAAGUCUGUCGUGAAAUCCUGAGGCUCAACCUCGGGCGUGCGAUGGAUACUGCCGGGCUAGAGGGUGGUAGAGGCGAGUGGAAUUCCCGGUGUAGCGGUGAAAUGCGCAGAUAUCGGGAGGAACACCAGUAGCGAAGGCGGCUCGCUGGGGCACACCUGACGCUGAGACGCGAAAGCUAGGGGAGCGAACAGG
This 253-nucleotide ribosomal RNA is filed under the name uncultured bacterium. RNAcentral describes it as "partial 16S ribosomal RNA". It matches the Rfam family "Bacterial small subunit ribosomal RNA", at positions 524 to 776 of the family's 1533-position model. The record is from RNAcentral.